AGUGAACGCUGCCGGUAGGCCUAACACAUGCAAGUCGAACGGCAGCACAGUAAGAGCUUGCUCUUACGGGUGGCGAGUGGCGGACGGGUGAGGAAUACAUCCGAAUCUACUUUUUCGUGGGGGAUAACGUAGGGAAACUUACGCUAAUACCGCAUACGACCUACGGGUGAAAGCAGGGGAUCUUCGGACCUUGCGCGAUUGAAUGAGCCGAUGUCGGAUUAGCUAGUUGGCGGGGUAAAGGCCCACCAAGGCGACGAUCCGUAGCUGGUCUGAGAGGAUGAUCAGCCACACUGGAACUGAGACACGGUCCAGACUCCUACGGGAGGCAGCAGUGGGGAAUAUUGGACAAUGGGCGCAAGCCUGAUCCAGCCAUACCGCGUGGGUGAAGAAGGCCUUCGGGUUGUAAAGCCCUUUUGUUGGGAAAGAAAAGCAGCAGGUUAAUACCCCGCUGUUCUGACGGUACCCAAAGAAUAAGCACCGGCUAACUUCGUG
RNAcentral lists this ribosomal RNA (492 nucleotides) under uncultured bacterium. RNAcentral describes it as "partial 16S ribosomal RNA". It matches the Rfam family "Bacterial small subunit ribosomal RNA", at positions 29 to 507 of the family's 1533-position model. The record is from RNAcentral.